UGUGUAGGUGGCCAUGUAAGUCAGGUGCGAAAGCCCCGGGCUCAACCCGGGAAGUGCAUUUGAUACUGCGUGGCUUGAGUACCGAAGAGGGUAGUGGAAUUCCAGGUGUAGUGGUGAAAUACGUAGAUAUCUGGAGGAACACCGGUGGCGAAGGCGGCUACCUGGUCGAGUACUGACACUGAGACACGAAAGCAUGGGGAUCAAACA
Molecule: ribosomal RNA, 207 nt
Filed under: uncultured bacterium
Lineage: Bacteria
Description: partial 16S ribosomal RNA
Rfam family: Bacterial small subunit ribosomal RNA
Source: RNAcentral